AUCCUAGGCGUGUCUAUGAUGCUGUUUUGUUUAGUAAUGAAGUGGACAUGCUUACUAUCAGAUGGAAGGAAUUGUAUCCUUACAUCACACAGUUUGUUCUGCUCGAGUCAAACUCCACGUUUACUGGAUUACCAAAACCAUUUACUUUUGCUAUUAACCGGGACCAAUUUAAGUUUGUUGAGCCUCGAUUGACUUAUGGAACCAUUGGAGGAAGAUUCAGGAAAGGUGAAAAUCCGUUUGUUGAAGAGGCAUAUCAGAGAGUAGCACUCGACCAGCUUUUGAGAAUAGCUGGAAUAGAGGAUGAUGAUUUGCUGAUAAUGUCCGAUGUUGAUGAAAUUCCUAGCAGGCACACCAUCGAUCUUUUAAGAUGGUGUGAUGACAUUCCUCCAAUUCUUCACCUUCAUUUUAGGAAUUACUUAUACUCUUUUGAAUUUGAGCUUAAGCACAGAAGUUGGAGAGCUUCAGUCCACAGGUAUCAGAGUGGCAAGACUCGAUACGUACACUAUCGUCAGACUGAUUACCUUUUGGCA
This 530-nucleotide unclassified non-coding RNA is filed under the name Hevea brasiliensis (rubber tree). Lineage: Eukaryota; Viridiplantae; Streptophyta; Magnoliopsida; Malpighiales; Euphorbiaceae. The record is from RNAcentral.